GGCAAUUUUCAAAUCAAGAUUGGAUUUUUUUCGCAAAAGCUCUGCCCUAGGAAUGAUUUUGGGGCAGGUCUCUGGCCUGGGAAAUACUCACUGGUCCCUUCC
Molecule: non-coding RNA, 102 nt
Organism: Chelonoidis abingdonii (Abingdon island giant tortoise)
Lineage: Eukaryota; Metazoa; Chordata; Testudines; Testudinidae
Source: RefSeq, a predicted model, not a curated record